GCUGGAGAAAUGGCUCAGCGGGUUAAGAGCACUGACUGCUCUUUCAGAGAUCCUGAGUUCAAUUCCCAGCAAGCA
This 75-nucleotide transfer RNA is filed under the name Mus musculus (house mouse). RNAcentral's name for it is "tRNA-Ser". The record is from RNAcentral. Lineage: Eukaryota; Metazoa; Chordata; Mammalia; Rodentia; Muridae.